GGGGCCAUAGCUCAGUUGGGAGAGCGCUUGCAUGGCAUGCAAGAGGUCGUGGGUUCGAAUCCCAUUGGCUCCA
This 73-nucleotide transfer RNA is filed under the name Planctomycetes bacterium B3_Pla. RNAcentral's name for it is "tRNA-Ala". It matches the Rfam family "tRNA". From Rfam's summary of the family: Transfer RNA (tRNA) molecules are approximately 80 nucleotides in length. Their secondary structure includes four short double-helical elements and three loops (D, anti-codon, and T loops). Further hydrogen bonds mediate the characteristic L-shaped molecular structure. tRNAs have two regions of fundamental functional importance: the anti-codon, which is responsible for specific mRNA codon recognition, and the 3' end, to which the tRNAs corresponding amino acid is attached (by aminoacyl-tRNA synthetases). tRNAs cope with the degeneracy of the genetic code in two manners: having more than one tRNA (with a specific anti-codon) for a particular amino acid; and 'wobble' base-pairing, i.e. permitting non-standard base-pairing at the 3rd anti-codon position. The record is from RNAcentral. Lineage: Bacteria; Pseudomonadati; Planctomycetota. RNAcentral also lists the same sequence under 9 other names.